This 255-nucleotide ribosomal RNA is filed under the name uncultured bacterium. RNAcentral describes it as "partial 16S ribosomal RNA". It matches the Rfam family "Bacterial small subunit ribosomal RNA", at positions 524 to 776 of the family's 1533-position model. The record is from RNAcentral.
UACGUAGGGUGCAAGCAUUAUCCGGAGUGACUGGGCGUAAAGAGUUGCGUAGGUGGUUAUGUAAGCGAAUAGUGAAAUUUGACGGCUCAACCGUACAAACUAUUAUUCGAACUGCAUAACUCGAGAAUGGUAGAGGUAACUGGAAUUUCUAGUGUAGGAGUGAAAUCCGUAGAUAUUAGAAGGAACACCAAUGGCGUAGGCAGGUUACUGGACCAUUUCUGACACUGAGGCACGAAAGCGUGGGGAGCGAACCGG